UUAAAUCAAUUUAAUUUGAAAUUAAAAAUUUAUUUUUAUUAAUAAUUAAUGAUUGUGUUAAAAGAAAUAAAUUUUAAUUUAUUAUUAUUAAGAAAAGUUUAGUUUAAUGAUAAGGUAUAAGUAUUGUGAAAGAAAUUCAUUAAUUAAUUUAAAGAAAAAUUUAAUUUUUGUACCUUGUGUAUCAGGGUUUAUUAAAAGAUAAUUUAAAAUUUAAAAAUCUCGAAUUUAAAAGAGCUAAGAGUUUAUAAUUUUUAUUGUAAAAUAAUUAUUUUUAAUAGACUUUUAGUAAUGAAAUGUUAUUCGUUUUUAAAUAUAUCUAGUUUUUUAAGAAAUAAAUUUAAUUUAUUUAUUAUUAAAAUUAAAUUAAAUUUAUAAUUUGAUGUUAAUAAUAUAUUAUAUUUUUAGGGAUGAGCUUAAAAAUAAAAUUUUAUUAGAAAAUUAAAAUUAAAAUAUUAUAGGAUUAAAAAUUUUCAUUAUUUAAGUAUGUUAUAAUUUAUUUUUAUUAUAUUAUAAUUUAUAUUUUUUAUAAAUUUUUUAUUAAAAUAUAUUUUUUAAUAAUGAAAAAUUAGAAAUAAUAAUAAAAUUAGUAUAAUUAUUUUAAAAAAUAUAAAAAUUUUUUAGGUUUAUAAAAGGAAUUCGGCAAAUUAUUUUUCACCUGUUUAUUAAAAACAUGUCUUUUUGUUUAAAAUUUAAGGUCUAACCUGCCCCCUGAUUAAUUAAAUGGCCGCGGUAUUUUGACUGUGCUAAGGUAGCAUAAUCAUUAGUUUUUUAAUUGAAAGCUGGAAUGAAGGGUUGAAUGAGAAAAUAACUGUCUCUUAUAAAUUUUAUUAGAAUUUUAUUCUUAAGUUAAAAAGCUUAAAUAAUUUUAAAAGACGAGAAGACCCUAUAGAGUUUAAUAUAAAGAUUUUUAAUAAAAAUAAAGAAUUAAGAGUUUAUUUUAAGUUUUGUAUUUAAUUGGGGUGAUUAAAAAAUUUAAUUAACUUUUUUUUAAUUUAAAUAUAAAUAAAUAAUUAAUUGAGCCAAAUUUUUUGAUUAUAAGAAUAAAUUACCUUAGGGAUAACAGCGUAAUUUUAUUGGAGAGUUCAAAUUGAUAAUAAAGAUUGCGACCUCGAUGUUGGAUUAAAAUUUAUUUUUGGUGUAGAAGCUAAGAAAUUUAAGUCUGUUCGACUUUUGAAAUUUUACAUGAUCUGAGUUUAAACCGGUGUAAGCCAGGUUGGUUUCUAUCUUUAAUUAAUUAAUUUAUUUUAGUACGAAAGGACCAAAUAAA
This 1267-nucleotide ribosomal RNA is filed under the name Psylliodes affinis. RNAcentral's name for it is "16S ribosomal RNA". The stretch from base 613 to 1267 matches the Rfam family "Archaeal large subunit ribosomal RNA", at positions 1423 to 2770 of the family's 2987-position model. The record is from RNAcentral. Lineage: Eukaryota; Metazoa; Arthropoda; Insecta; Coleoptera; Chrysomelidae.